Molecule: ribosomal RNA, 465 nt
Filed under: uncultured bacterium
Lineage: Bacteria
Description: partial 16S ribosomal RNA
Rfam family: Bacterial small subunit ribosomal RNA
Source: RNAcentral
GAUGAACGCUGGCGGCGUGCUUAACACAUGCAAGUCGAACGGAAAGGCUCCUGCUUGCAGGGGUACUCGAGUGGCGAACGGGUGAGUAACACGUGGGUGAUCUGCCCUGCACUUCGGGAUAAGCCUGGGAAACUGGGUCUAAUACCGGAUAGGACCACAUUUUGGAUGGUGUGGUGGAAAGUUUUUCGGUGUGGGAUGAGCUCGCGGCCUAUCAGCUUGUUGGUGGGGUAAUGGCCUACCAAGGCGUCGACGGGUAGCCGGCCUGAGAGGGUGUACGGCCACAUUGGGACUGAGAUACGGCCCAGACUCCUACGGUAGGCAGCAGUGGGGAAUAUUGCACAAUGGGCGCAAGCCUGAUGCAGCGACGCCGCGUGGGGGAUGACGGCCUUCGGGUUGUAAACUCCUUUCGCUAGGGACGAAGCGCAAGUGACGGUACCUGGAGAAGAAGCACCGGCUAACUACGUG